UCCGGUAUAGUGUAGGGGUUAACAUAACCCGCUUUCAAAAAGUCUCGUUUCUUUCUCUCUUGAAAAUAACUUGCUUUUAGAGCCGGGUAGCCCCGGGUUCGAUUCCCGGUACCGGAA
This 117-nucleotide transfer RNA is filed under the name Pseudogymnoascus sp. VKM F-4246. It matches the Rfam family "tRNA". From Rfam's summary of the family: Transfer RNA (tRNA) molecules are approximately 80 nucleotides in length. Their secondary structure includes four short double-helical elements and three loops (D, anti-codon, and T loops). Further hydrogen bonds mediate the characteristic L-shaped molecular structure. tRNAs have two regions of fundamental functional importance: the anti-codon, which is responsible for specific mRNA codon recognition, and the 3' end, to which the tRNAs corresponding amino acid is attached (by aminoacyl-tRNA synthetases). tRNAs cope with the degeneracy of the genetic code in two manners: having more than one tRNA (with a specific anti-codon) for a particular amino acid; and 'wobble' base-pairing, i.e. permitting non-standard base-pairing at the 3rd anti-codon position. The record is from Rfam by way of RNAcentral. Lineage: Eukaryota; Fungi; Ascomycota; Leotiomycetes; Thelebolales; Thelebolaceae.